Molecule: ribosomal RNA, 245 nt
Filed under: uncultured Prevotella sp.
Lineage: Bacteria; Pseudomonadati; Bacteroidota; Bacteroidia; Bacteroidales; Prevotellaceae
Description: partial 16S ribosomal RNA
Rfam family: Bacterial small subunit ribosomal RNA
Source: RNAcentral
UACGGAAGGUCCGGGCGUUAUCCGGAUUUAUUGGGUUUAAAGGGAGCGCAGGCCGGUGCCUAAGCGUGACGUGAAAUGCCGCGGCUCAACCGUGGAAGUGCGUCGCGAACUGGGUGCCUUGAGUGAGUACGACGUUGGCGGAAUUCGUGGUGUAGCGGUGAAAUGCUUAGAUAUCACGAAGAACCCCGAUUGCGAAGGCAGCUGACGAGUCCUCAACUGACGCUAAAGCUCGAAGGUGCGGGUAU